This 384-nucleotide unclassified non-coding RNA is filed under the name Burkholderia mallei FMH. RNAcentral's name for it is "10Sa RNA (tmRNA)". Lineage: Bacteria; Pseudomonadati; Pseudomonadota; Betaproteobacteria; Burkholderiales; Burkholderiaceae. The record is from RNAcentral. RNAcentral also lists the same sequence under 2 other names.
GAUCGGGUGUCGUGUAUCGUGCGUUGCGGUUGCGGUUGCGGAUGCAGGUGCAGACCGUGGACCGUGGAGCAGCCGGCGCAAGUCACUGCCUGCGGCCAAGCCGCGCUGAAAGGCGCUGCCUGCGGCAUUUCGGAGCCCGGCGGUCGGUGGAGAAAGCAACCGAGCGCCGGAGUGCCGCGCGCAUGCGCUUUCACCGUCCCGAUGGCGCUACCGGCGCACGCGCAAUGUGCGCGCCGCCACCAUUGCCUCGCGCGCGACACAAACGACUGGCGGCGCUCGGCACAUUCUUCAUAUAAUUGCCGCUUCAUGUCGACAGGAUCGGCGGGAUGCGCACGCGCCGAUUCGGCGCCGCACCGUUCGACGCGGGUUCGAUCGUCGCCGCUC